RNAcentral lists this long non-coding RNA (1016 nucleotides) under Gossypium barbadense (sea-island cotton). RNAcentral describes it as "long non-coding RNA (GBAR_LNC016414)". Lineage: Eukaryota; Viridiplantae; Streptophyta; Magnoliopsida; Malvales; Malvaceae. The record is from RNAcentral.
UCACAUUUCCCCUUUUCCCAUUUACCUUCUUUUGGGUUUGCCAAAAGAACUGCUAAAGAAAAACUCUUUGUUCCUUGUUCUGUUAAUUUCCUUUUUGAAGCUUUAAUUGGUUAUAAGCCUGUUACCUUUUUGUUAUUAGCGUUGGUGUGGGGUUCGACAGUUGAUUUUUCGUUGGGUAAGUUUUGUUAUAUGCAUUUAUAAACUUCGUUUUCGAUGCAUUCUUCAUGGGAUAAUGAGUGAUUUUGAAGUAAGGGUUCUUUUGAGUGUUUAAUUGUUUCGUGUAUUGUUAGGAGGAAUUGGUGAGACGUAUGAUGUCCUUCCAGAGAUUUAGGAUGAUUAUUUGGUACUGUUGCUGUGGUUUUGGGUAAGUAAGCGAGUUCUAUAAGGUUGAUUUUCCAAUUUGCUAACGCUUAAUUAUUGGUGGUUGAGGUCGAUUUAGUGACUUUAACUUUGUGAAUCGUUGCUAAAAGGGUGGUUUUAAUUGACAUUUUAGGUUCUAGAAUACUCGUUGGUGAAUCAGCAUCGAAAAUUGAUUAGGUGUGUGAUGAAAACUUGAGAAAUCAGCGAACAACUGAAAGCCAAAAUUGGGACUACCGACAACACACGUCUAUGUGCUAGUGUCACGGGCCAAAGUACAAAGCCCGUGACCAUGCCACAAGAAGCGCCCCAUGGAGGUCUAUCGAUUAGAUGGGGGGCAUUUAGCCCACAAGAACUGGCCCGAUUCAGAGAGCUACUAAAGAAGCCUAUCAGAUUGAAGCCUGGUUGGCCCAAUGAUGAAGACAUGGCAACUUAGGCAAUUUUGGUAACUAAUCUUAGAAGAUAGAAAAGAAUCAUAUCUUGUAAGAUUAGAUUAGAUUUGAUAUAGUAAAUCUUGUAAAUCCCUAAAAUCAAGGGAUAUAGUGAAUCUCAUCCGUUGAUGUACAUGUAUCUUGACCGUCGGUUUUGGGGGAGCUCAACUAUAAAUAGAGAGCCUCCCCCUCAUUUGUAAAUCAUCCAUUGUAACUUGAAUUCUUAAG